CCGGUGUCCCCCUACCUCCUGGCCUGUGGGGGAUCCCCAGCAGGGCCGGGGGGAGCAGAGAUUGGGGGCCCCCACACCUGUCCAGCAGGUGCCCGUCUUAGGGCCCUGGAGGCGCAGGUGAGGGAGCUCCGGGAGGAGGUUAGCAGGCUGAGGGGGAUCAGGGAGGCGGAGGAUGAAAUUGACAGUUAUUUCCUUUCCCUGCAGGCCCAGGCACCAAAGGAAGAAGCACCCCGGGGAAUACCCUCCACAGCAGAGUGGCAGACGGUCACAGCCAGGACCGGAGCGGCACGCAGAGAACCGGUACCAGCUUCUCCAGUCCGACUGGUGAACAGAUCAAGAGAUCCACGAUGACCCAGAGGAAGAGGCGACGAGUGCUCGUCAUAGGAGACUCCAUCCUGAGAGGUACGGAAGGACCCAUCUGUCGCCAGGACCCCUCGGCACGAGAGGUAUGCUGCCUCCCUGGAGCAAAGAUUCGGGAUGUGACGGAGGUAAUCCAGGCCAGGAUCAAGCCCACCGAUUAUUACCCCAUGGUCCUAGUCCAUGUGGGUACUAA
This is a long non-coding RNA of Alligator mississippiensis (American alligator), 553 nucleotides long. RefSeq lists it as uncharacterized. The transcript is spliced from 2 exons. The record is from RefSeq and is a predicted model, not a curated record. NCBI's taxonomy places the organism in Eukaryota, Metazoa, Chordata, Crocodylia, Alligatoridae.